Long non-coding RNA from Rhincodon typus (whale shark), 1671 nucleotides. RefSeq lists it as uncharacterized. Lineage: Eukaryota; Metazoa; Chordata; Chondrichthyes; Orectolobiformes; Rhincodontidae. The transcript is spliced from 2 exons. The record is from RefSeq and is a predicted model, not a curated record.
GCAUCCCACAUUUAAAUAUAAUGUAGCAGAAAACACUGCAGCUUGGAGCAGUUAAUGUGAAUUUUCAAAGUCCUAUGUCAGAAGUGGAACUUUCCUCUCCUGGUGCGGCGACAAUGGUGACGAGAAAGGUGGGAAAAUUCGAUUAUCGGCUCAUGAAUCUCAUUCGGGGUUUGCCAUAUCUGGAAUCCUUGUGUACAGGUACCCGUCUGAAGACAAUGUGGAAGCAGACAACAAUUACUACUUUGUCAGUGAUCCCAGGAAGACCAGCAACAUCUGGGAGAAGAAAGAGGGAGGAGUCACAGGCGAAGAACAGUCAAGGAGGUGGGCACAUUUAUCGAGAUGAUAUGCAAGCCUCACUGUCUUUUUCUUUAACAGUCUGAAAGACAGUGCAGACGCUAAUUAAGGAUAUCCUGGCCCAUCAUCACUGAACUCUGUUAUCUGCCAUGGAUAUUCCUCAGGAGGAAUUGUGCUCAGAAGGACUGGGUGGCCAUCCCACCCCACUGACUGUCAAGGUCACAGCUGCCCUGAAUUUUUAGACCAGUGGCUCAUGUCAAGGAGCAACUGAAGAUCUGUGUGCUAUCUCCCUCUCCUCGACCUAUAAAUGAAUCUGGGAUUUGAUCUGAUGUUAUUUUCUGCAGCUCACAACCCUACAUAUCCUUCCCCCAUGACAAGGAGAGUCACACAGCUCAGGCAUCAUCGCUGGCUUCCCCCUGGGUGCAGUACACUAUCAAUUACUCUCUAUCACCAAUCUCAGGUAAAAUAAACCAAAGAACUGUGGAUGCUGGAAAUCUGAAACAAAAACAGAAAUUGCUGUUGAAACUCAGCAUCUGUGGGAAGAAAGCAGAGUUAACAUUUCUAAUCUGGCGAGUUCUAAUGAAGCACCACCAGACUUGAAAUGUUAACUCUGCUUUCUUCCCAUAGAUGCUGCCAGACCUGCUGAGUUUCACCAGCAAUUUCUGUUUUUGUACCAGUCUAAAGAAUUUGUCAACAGAAAAAUCUUCCACUCCAUCAUUGUUCAAAUUCUAGGUGACUCCCGAUUUGCAGAUUCUUACUGCUUCCUGUCUCCCUUCAUCGUCCUGGGCCCACAGGGAUGUCUGCUUAGUGCCUCCACACAUGGCUGAUUCCACCUUUACAUAAGCCUCAGGCUGAUUCAGAACGCAGACACAGGAGACAGUUAGCUUAUGGCUGAUUCGGCAAUGCAGAGUGAUAUCAACAGUGUGGGUUUAAUUCCCACACCUGCUGAGGUUACCAAUGAAGCAACUCCUUCUCAAUUCCUCCCCGUGCCUGAGGAAUGGUGACCCUCGGGUAAAACUACCAUCAGUCAUCUCUCAUCAUUACCACACACUGUGCCCUUCAUUACUGGAACCAACAAAGUUGGGACGCUCUGGUUGCAGAGAAAAUGGAGGAUCAAAUCCUCUGAUUUUUGAAGAGGAAAAUCAGGACAUUGACAAGGAGGGAUAUCCAAGAAACCACGAUAGAGCUAUGCACGGUCAAGCACAUCAGAUAGAACCUCAUUGAAACCUGCUUCCAGAUGGGUGAGAUGAGUUUGGACUUCAUUUUAUUCUGUUACUUUUUGUGUGUUACAUUUACAUGUAUAUGUAGUGCAUUUAGAUGUAGCAGUAUCGGCACUCCUCAAAGUUUUCUACCACUGAAUACACGUUGUUGUCAUCA